UGGGGAAUUUUGGACAAUGGGGGGAACCCUGAUCCAGCCAUCCCGCGUGUGCGAUGAAGGCCUUCGGGUUGUAAAGCACUUUUGGCAGGAAAGAAACGUCGCGGGUUAAUACCCCGCGAAACUGACGGUACCUGCAGAAUAAGCACCGGCUAACUACGUGCCAGCAGCCGCGGUAAUACGUAGGGUGCAAGCGUUAAUCGGAAUUACUGGGCGUAAAGCGUGCGCAGGCGGUUCGGAAAGAAAGAUGUGAAAUCCCAGAGCUUAACUUUGGAACUGCAUUUUUAACUACCGGGCUAGAGUGUGUCAGAGGGAGGUGGAAUUCCGCGUGUAGCAGUGAAAUGCGUAGAUAUGCGGAGGAACACCGAUGGCGAAGGCAGCCUCCUGGGAUAACACUGACGCUCAUGCACGAAAGCGUGGGGAGCAAACAGGAUUAGAUACCCUGGUAGUCCACGCCCUAAACGAUGUCAACUAGCUGUUGGGGCCUUCGGGCCUUGGUAGCGCAGCUAACGCGUGAAGUUGACCGCCUGGGGAGUACGGUCGCAAGAUUAAAACUCAAAUGAAUUGAC
This 566-nucleotide ribosomal RNA is filed under the name uncultured bacterium. RNAcentral describes it as "partial 16S ribosomal RNA". It matches the Rfam family "Bacterial small subunit ribosomal RNA", at positions 355 to 914 of the family's 1533-position model. The record is from RNAcentral.